This 227-nucleotide ribosomal RNA is filed under the name uncultured soil bacterium. Its description in RNAcentral is "partial 16S ribosomal RNA". It matches the Rfam family "Bacterial small subunit ribosomal RNA", at positions 25 to 279 of the family's 1533-position model. The record is from RNAcentral.
CAGAACGAACGCUGGCGGCAUGCCUAAUACAUGCAAGUCGAACGAACACUUCGGUGUUAGUGGCGCACGGGUGCGUAACGCGUGGGAAUCUGCCCUUGGGUUCGGAAUAACAGUUGGAAACGACUGCUAAUACCGGAUGAUGACGAAAGUCCAAAGAUUUAUCGCCCAGGGAUGAGCCCGCGUAGGAUUAGCUAGUUGGUGAGGUAAAGGCGUCACCAAGGCGACGA